This 253-nucleotide ribosomal RNA is filed under the name uncultured bacterium. RNAcentral's name for it is "partial 16S ribosomal RNA". It matches the Rfam family "Bacterial small subunit ribosomal RNA", at positions 527 to 779 of the family's 1533-position model. The record is from RNAcentral.
CGAAGGGGCUAGCGUUGUUCGGAAUUACUGGGCGUAAAGCGCACGUAGGCGGAUAUUUAAGUCAGGGGUGAAAUCCCAGAGCUCAACUCUGGAACUGCCUUUGAUACUGGGUAUCUUGAGUAUGGAAGAGGUAAGUGGAAUUGCGAGUGUAGAGGUGAAAUUCGUAGAUAUUCGCAGGAACACCAGUGGCGAAGGCGGCUUACUGGUCCAUAACUGACGCUGAGGUGCGAAAGCGUGGGGAGCAAACAGGAUU